AAAAUUUUAAGUUAAAAAAACUUUUAAUAUUCAAAAUUAAUAAUAUAUUAAAUAUAUAAAUUUUA
Molecule: transfer RNA, 65 nt
Filed under: Andrena haemorrhoa
Lineage: Eukaryota; Metazoa; Arthropoda; Insecta; Hymenoptera; Andrenidae
Description: tRNA-Trp
Source: RNAcentral